Molecule: long non-coding RNA, 338 nt
Filed under: Nicotiana benthamiana
Lineage: Eukaryota; Viridiplantae; Streptophyta; Magnoliopsida; Solanales; Solanaceae
Description: long non-coding RNA (NBEN_LNC024469)
Source: RNAcentral
CAACCACUUCUUGAUGACAUUUUUCAUGUUAGGUGUGCAUGUCAUGUUUAUAAUUUAAUUGUUAAAAAUGGCCUUGAUUUAUUUUCAACUGAUAUUACCCAUUUAGGAGCAGUUGGUAUUAUUCAAGAAAAUAAUAAACAAUCCAGAAUAAAGGAAUUUAAGAAUAAGUGUGUCCAGUAUAACCUUAAACCCAGAUUCAUGCCAGACCUAGAAUAAAGAAAUUUAAGAAUAAGUGUGCCCAGUAUAACCUUAAACUCAUAUCAUGUCAGACGAAAUUGUUACUAGAUGAAAGUAUACAUAUAUAUUUUUAAAAUGCUACUACAAAUAUAGAUUCCCAA